Long non-coding RNA from Apis cerana (Asiatic honeybee), 2906 nucleotides. RefSeq lists it as uncharacterized. The record is from RefSeq and is a predicted model, not a curated record. Lineage: Eukaryota; Metazoa; Arthropoda; Insecta; Hymenoptera; Apidae.
AAUUAACCGUUUCGAAAAUGCAGUCGCGCUAAUUAACCGAGUUCUAUCGAUUAAUGUUCCCAUUAUUUACCGCGAACGAGCUCUCGUGCGUGGCAAUCGGUAUUUGCUAUCGAGGGGGAAAAAAUAGUAGAGAUCGAAUAAACGCUAUUUUUCGGCGGGGGGAGAAAAAAAAGGAGAUUCGAGCGACGAGUUAAUAUUUAAUUUGUGAAAAUGAAAGAGGAGUGCUAUGCUCGAGUACGCACACGAAGUAGGCACACGAUGAAAUUUCGCGAUUAACGACGUCACAUUUUCGAACAAAAGUUUAAUUUAAUCCCUCGUCCGAAACAUUUUUCGCUUCAAAUGGGAAAAUUAGGUGAGACGUUCGCGUGUAUAAAAAGUGAUUUCACUCGACACGAUGAAAAUACGUUUAACGCUUUGCAAAUAUUAAUUCUCUUAAUAAAAAUCUCGAGUAAACCGGGAGUUGGUUUUCGAUUUUCACGCCGCGUAUUCAUUCGCGGUUACCGGGAUGCAAUUAACGAAAUCGGGAGAAUUAAAUCAACGAUCGGAAAUGCAAUUAUAUCGGAAUCGUGUUUCUUCGAUACUCGAGAGCAUUAAGAGAAACGUUCACUAUCGUAUUAUAAUAUGUAUGUUCGUGUUAUCGGUAAUGUAUGUCGCCUAGACAGUAUAAUUAUUGAAAAUGACAGUGAUAGUAAAAAUAAUUGUUAAUUAUAUUGGCAAUUAUAUACAAAAUUAUCAUGAUUUAUUCCUAGUUUAAUAAAAAUACGUAAACAAAUAUAGACAUGGUCAAAUUUAAUAGCUAUUCGUUUCGUUAAUUGAAGCAACUUUAAAUUUUCAAUUAGUUGCUUUUUCGAUGGAUUAAUGAUUACGAAACAUUGGAUCAAUUGGUUACGAAAUAAAAAAGAAUAAAGAAUGUUAUUGUAUCGUGGGUCAAGUGCGUCAACUUUUAAAACGUUUUAAUUCGAAAAACAAGCGUGACAAAUCUGUUCAACGGUUCGUGAUCAGGUUGCAAAGCGACGGAUUCAAAAAACAAGAGGGAAAUACUUUGGGAAAAAGAAUUCCUUUUGGAAAUUCCUCGCGUUUCUUCGACUCGGUAAACGGUGAAAUUCGAUAUUCAGGAUUUCACGAAAGACACGUAGACGUUGAUAACUAGAGGGAAAGCAACGAUUUCAACGUUUCAAUUCGACCGAAUCAAUUUCGACGAAUAACGUGUAUUUUAGAAACGGAAUCUUUUUCUCAUUUUUCCGAAUCUUAAGAACAAAUAACGGCUUUACGUGUAAUUCUAAAAAUCCCGGUUAUACGUGUCAUCCAAUGUCUCUUUCUUAUCAAAUGUCUUUAUCUUUUUUCACCAAUGUUGUAAUCGAAUCGUUUAAGAAAAAUAUAUCACGUUUGUUUAAACAAUCGAAUUAUUUAUCAUUUCCUUUUACUAAACUUGCAUAAACUUUCGUGGAACAAUCAAACUAAUAAAAAAUAAUAAUCACACCGAUCAAUCUCUCUUCGACAAUCAUCUGUCUAAAUUCGAAACAAUUGCGCAUCUAAUUCCAAAGUUGGUGUCGUGGUGUCGCUGGUGUAUGCAUGGCGGAUCGACGAAACGGUUGACAAUUGUAGAAAUAUAAAGGAGAAGAGUGAAAGAGAGGGUAAAGACGAGACGAUCGCGUUGAAAAUGGCGGGCUAAGUGGUAUUGUUCUCUGGAUGGAAACGUAGGAGGAUUUUUACCUUCUCGUUCUUGUACCGUCUAACGACCCUUUCGAGCUGUCGCCGUAGGAGGAGGUUUUUGAAGCGAAGAAACAGAAGAAGAAAAGAGAGGAAAAAAAGAGUAGAAAAUAAGAAGAGAAUAGGAUAGAAGAAAGGAAGCCGAGAGUCGAAACAGAAAGAUGAGAAAAAUUGUAACGAAAGUUGUAACGAGAAAUUAAUUAUACGAGGAGAGAUAUAUACGUACGAAAGUAAUGUAAAGAAAAAAGGAGAAUUGAAAGAAAUAUUAAAGGUGAGGUUAAGUGUUAAGCCAUUACACUUUUUCUUCUCUUAGAUAGAUUAGAAGAAGGAGAAUAGUCGAAGAUAGAAAAGAAAGAAAUUGUUGAGGAUCCUUCUUCUAUUUAAGGAGUCGAAUUUUUUUCUUUCUUUAAAAAGAUGAGAAAAAUUAUGUGAGAAAUUAAUUAUACCAGGAGAAAUAUAUAUAUGUAUGAAAAUAAUACGUAGAAAAAAGGAAAUUAAAAAAAAAAUUAAAGCUCGGAUUUAUCAAUUUUGCACGUAACUUGGAUUUCUCUCCAAUUUCUCACCCAUGGAUCGAUGAAACGGAGCUUGCUUAAAUUUUUAAUCGAUUGUGGUAAAUCGAAAACGAAUUCGGCUAUGGAUUUGGACGUUUCUAUUUCAAUGGGGACAGUAUUUUCAGCAGUUUAACUUUCCUUGGCGGCAAUUUACGAGCGAGUUUUCCUCCAAACUCUCAAUAACAGUUACUCUAGAGGCUAUAUAAUAGAUAUUACAAUAGCGAUGGCCACUUGACGAGUCACGCUUGCUCCAGCCAGGGUUGCCCAUUAACCCGUUGAAAAAGUAACUGGUUAUAAAAAUUUUAUUCGUAGCUGAUCCGCUCAUCAGAUAAUAACCUUGGAAUUACAGUUAUCCGAGUUUAUUCGAUGUUUUGAAUAAUAAAUUAUAUUGAAGUAAGUUUUACUCAUAACUAUUAAAUUUCCCCCAUCAACAGUGUCAAUUGUCUUGCAUCGAGCGUCUUGCAAUAAAAUUUCUUCAAGUAAUCGACCAAUCAAUUUUAUACGAUUGUUAAAAAUUUCGCCUCGUCAUCUCUGAACAACGAAAGAGAAAAUGAUCGCAAGGACGAUUGUCAUUCAUGGCGGGAGCCCAUCUCUCUGCAAAUCCAUCCUCUUAAUUCAUGUCCAAGACGAUUACUAGAGGGAGAG